UUCCCAAACGAUUUGGAGUGUGGGGGCGGGGCUUAAGUGAUGCGUGUGUAGAGAAAACGAAUUUUAUGGUUAACUUAAUGAUAAUAUUUUAUUAACAAUCACACUCUCUCUCUCUCUCUCUCUCUCUCUCUCUCUCUCUCUCUCUCUCUUGAUUAUGGAAUGUAUAUCUAUAACUAAAUGAAGGGUUCUCAACUUUGGGGUAGACGUAUCUCCUGUGGUAGACUACUGGAGAGGAAUUCUGUGGAUACGUGACAGGUAAUACAAUAGUCACUCUUGCUAGUUUUCUAUAGAUCGCGUCGUUUCUCACGCGUACGAAACAGGUACCGUCAUCACAAGCACGACUGUUAACACGCAGAUAUCAAAAGAUUUCCUUCUCUCGUGUGUCAUACUUUGAAGGUUUCGAGCAUGGAGAAUUGUUAAAUCAAGAGCAGGUACCGUCAUCACAAAUAAGACAUCAGAAAAUUUCCUUCUCUCGUGUGCCAUGCCUUGAAAGGUGGUGAAGUAGAAGUGGCUGGACACUGGAGUAUGGAAGAAUCAUCUAAAAUUUUUAAGUCUCCUCUCAGGGAAAUCAGUCGGUCGGGAAAAGCUUCUCUCAGGAAUCCCAUUGAAAUGCGUGCAAUGUGGGCUGUGGCCCCAUCUUGCUGGAACCACACGUUUCCAUUAUCCAGGUCCAUAUUAAUGAG
This is a long non-coding RNA of Portunus trituberculatus (swimming crab), 683 nucleotides long. RefSeq lists it as uncharacterized. The transcript is spliced from 3 exons. The record is from RefSeq and is a predicted model, not a curated record. Lineage: Eukaryota; Metazoa; Arthropoda; Malacostraca; Decapoda; Portunidae.